GGAAUAUUGGACAAUGGGCGAAAGCCUGAUCCAGCGACGCCGCGUGUGUGAAGAAGGCCUGCGGGUUGUAAAGCACUUUCGAUGGGAACGAAAUGUGCCGGGCUAAUACCCCGGCACGCUGACGUUCCUCAAUGAAGCAGCACCGGCCAACUCUGUGCCAGCAGCCGCGGUAAUAACGAGGGUGCGAGCGUUAAUCGGAAUUACUGGGCGUAAAGCGCACGUAAGUGGCGACGUAAGUCGGGUGUGAAAGCCCCGGGCUCAACCUGGGAAUUGCAUUCGAGACUGCAUUGCUGGAGUACGGAAGAGGAGGGCGGAAUUCCCGGUGUAGCGGUGAAAUGCGUAGAUAUCGGGAGGAACAUCAGUGGCGAAGGCGGCCCUCUGGUCCAGUACUGACACUCAAGUGCGAAAGCGUGGGGAGCAAAC
Molecule: ribosomal RNA, 423 nt
Filed under: uncultured bacterium
Lineage: Bacteria
Description: bacterial SSU rRNA
Rfam family: Bacterial small subunit ribosomal RNA
Source: RNAcentral